Blautia sp. is the source of this 76-nucleotide non-coding RNA. NCBI's taxonomy places the organism in Bacteria, Bacillati, Bacillota, Clostridia, Lachnospirales, Lachnospiraceae. The record is from Rfam.
AAGAGCCGUAUGAAAGGAGACUUUCACGUACGGUUCCGGGAGAAGUUUGAGGUGAAAGUCCUCUUACUUACUCGAC